Macaca fascicularis (crab-eating macaque) is the source of this 148-nucleotide unclassified non-coding RNA. It matches the Rfam family "Metazoan signal recognition particle RNA". Rfam says of the family: The signal recognition particle (SRP) is a universally conserved ribonucleoprotein. It is involved in the co-translational targeting of proteins to membranes. NCBI's taxonomy places the organism in Eukaryota, Metazoa, Chordata, Mammalia, Primates, Cercopithecidae. The record is from Ensembl.
GCUGGGCAUGGUGGCGCGUGCCUGUAAUCCCAGCUACUCAGGAGGCUGAGGCAGGAGAACCGCUUGAACCCAGGAGGUGGAGGUUGCAGUGAGCUGAGGUCGUGCCAUUGCCCUCCAACCUGGGUGACAGAGCGAGACUCUGUCUCAA